This 440-nucleotide ribosomal RNA is filed under the name uncultured bacterium. Its description in RNAcentral is "partial 16S ribosomal RNA". It matches the Rfam family "Bacterial small subunit ribosomal RNA", at positions 338 to 795 of the family's 1533-position model. The record is from RNAcentral.
CCUACGGGCGACAGCAGUGGGGAAUAUUGGACAAUGGGGGGAACCCUGAUCCAGCGACGCCGCGUGAGUGAAGAAGUAUUUAGGUAUGUAAAGCUCUAUCAGCAGGGAAGAAAAUGACGGUACCUGACUAAGAAGCCCCGGCUAACUACGUGCCAGCAGCCGCGGUAAUACGUAGGGGGCAAGCGUUAUCCGGAUUUACUGGGUGUAAAGGGAGCGUAGACGGUGCAGCAAGUCUGAUGUGAAAGGUCGGGGCGCAACCCCGGGACUGCAUUGGAAACUGUUGAACUUGAGUACAGGAGAGGUAAGCGGAAUUCCUAGUGUAGCGGUGAAAUGCGUAGAUAUUAGGAGGAACACCAGUGGCGAAGGCGGCUUACGGGACUGUAACUGACGUUGAGGCUCGAAGGCGUGGGGAGCAAACAGGAUUAGAUACCCGGGUAGUC